Molecule: ribosomal RNA, 450 nt
Filed under: uncultured bacterium
Lineage: Bacteria
Description: partial 16S ribosomal RNA
Rfam family: Bacterial small subunit ribosomal RNA
Source: RNAcentral
GUGGGGAAUAUUGGACAAUGGGCGAAAGCCUGAUCCAGCCAUGCCGCGUGUGUGAAGAAGGUCUUCGGAUUGUAAAGCACUUUAAGUUGGGAGGAAGGGCAGUAAGUUAAUACCUUGCUGUUUUGACGUUACCGACAGAAUAAGCACCGGCUAACUUCGUGCCAGCAGCCGCGGUAAUACGAAGGGUGCAAGCGUUAAUCGGAAUUACUGGGCGUAAAGCGCGCGUAGGUGGUUUUGUAAGUUGGAGGUGAAAUCCCCGGGCUCAACCUGGGAACUGCCUACAAAACUGCAUGACUAGAGUACGGUAGAGGGUAGUGGAAUUUCCUGUGUAGCGGUGAAAUGCGUAGAUAUAGGAAGGAACACCAGUGGCGAAGGCGACUACCUGGACUGAUACUGACACUGAGGUGCGAAAGCGUGGGGAGCAAACAGGAUUAGAAACCCGUGUAGUCC